This 425-nucleotide ribosomal RNA is filed under the name uncultured bacterium. RNAcentral's name for it is "partial 16S ribosomal RNA". It matches the Rfam family "Bacterial small subunit ribosomal RNA", at positions 354 to 796 of the family's 1533-position model. The record is from RNAcentral.
GUUAGGAAUAUUGGACAAUGGGCGAAAGCCUGAUCCAGCCAUGCCGCGUGAACGAUGAAGGCCUUCGGGUUGUAAAGUUCUUUAGCCGAUGAUUAUAAUGACUGUAGUCGGAAAAUAAGCCCCGGCUAACUUCGUGCCAGCAGCCGCGGUAAUACGAAGGGGGCGAGCGUUAUUCGGAAUCACUGGGCGUAAAGCGUGCGUAGGCGGUGUUGUAAGUUAGGAGUGAAAGACCAGGGCUCAACCUUGGAAUUGCUCUUAAAACUGCAAGGCUCGAAUCUCGGAGAGGAUAGCGGAAUUUCCAGUGUAGCAGUGAAAUGCGUAGAUAUUGGAAGGAACACCAGUGGCGUAAGCGGCUAUCUGGACGAGUAUUGACGCUGAGGCACGAAAGCGUGGGGAUCAAACAGGAUUAGAAACCCCGGUAGUCC